Molecule: long non-coding RNA, 429 nt
Organism: Homo sapiens (human)
Lineage: Eukaryota; Metazoa; Chordata; Mammalia; Primates; Hominidae
Source: Ensembl
CAGCAUAGGUCAAGUUCUGGUGGGUAUUUAAGUUCAUUAUCACACCACUCCAGAGCCAUAAUAAAGGACUACUUUUAAUUUCUGCUCUAAUUACUGAGAAAUAAUUUACUUAAAUCAUUAUAGUUGGCAUUUGACAUGGAACACAGAUACUGGUUUUUGUUUUGCUUUGAUUUACACCCCCCCACUUGGAGAAAGGAAUCUGAAGAAAUUAAAACUCAUUUUCCAUAUACCCCUUCUUCCUUGGUCCAGGAACAUUUGAGAUUAUCCUUAAUGUUGGGCCAUUUCUAACUCAGCCAGUGCAAUUGUUGAAUUUGUGGUUUUCAGCAGAUUUGCAAUUUGCCUUUUGAUUUGACUAAUGAUUGCUUUUUAAGCCUUUGUGGCAUAUUCGUUUUCCUAAUAUUUUAAAUAAAUAGUGAAAUGUCAUGGAAA